RNAcentral lists this ribosomal RNA (435 nucleotides) under uncultured bacterium. Its description in RNAcentral is "bacterial SSU rRNA". It matches the Rfam family "Bacterial small subunit ribosomal RNA", at positions 335 to 760 of the family's 1533-position model. The record is from RNAcentral.
ACUCCUACGGGAGGCAGCAGUAGGGAAUCUUCCACAAUGGGCGCAAGCCUGAUGGAGCAACACCGCGUGAGUGAAGAAGGGUUUCGACUCGUAAAGCUCUGUUGUUAAAGAAGAACACGUAUGAGAGUAACUGUUCAUACGUUGACGGUAUUUUAACCAGAAAGUCACGGCUAACUACGUGCCAGCAGCCGCGGUAAUACGUAGGUGGCAAGCGUUAUCCGGAUUUAUUGGGCGUAAAGAGAGUGCAGGCGGUUUUCUAAGUCUGAUGUGAAAGCCUUCGGCUUAACCGGAGAAGUGCAUCGGAAACUGGAUAACUUGAGUGCAGAAGAGGGUAGUGGAACUCCAGGUGUAGCGGUGAAAUGCGUAGAGAUCUGAAGGAAUACCAGUGGCGAAGGCGGCCCCCGUGGACAAAGACUGACGCUCAGAUGCGAAAGC